UUAUUCGCUCUUGAACGAGGAAUCCCUAGUAAGCACAAGUCACUAGCUUGUGCUGAUUACGUCCCUGCCCUUUGUACACACCGCCAGUCGCUACUACCGAUUGAAUGGCUUAGCGAGGCCUUCGGAUUGAGUUUUGGGAACUGGCAACAGAUCCUGAUUUUUAAGAAGUUGGUCAAACUUGGUCAUUUAGAGGAAGUAAAAGUCGUAACAAGGUUUCCGUAGGUGAACCUGCGGAAGGAUCAUUACCAAUUUAGCGAACCUGGUUGCUUUUGACCGAGGUCUCGCAAAACCUGUAUUUAAAACCCACACUUUUUAUAUAAAAUUAUUGUAUCAAUUAUGAUAAAAAAAGAUCACUUUCAACAACGGAUCUCUUGGCUCUCGCAUCGAUGAAGAACGUAGCGAAGUGCGAUAAGUAAUGUGAAUUGCAGAAUUCCGUGAGUCAUCGAAUCUUUGAACGCAAAUUGCACUCCCUGGCAUUCCGGGGAGUAUGCCUGUUUGAGGGUCAGUUUAAAUAAAUAUCGAGGUGUUGCUUUUUGUGACGCUUCGGAAUUGGGUUAUCUUGAUCCUCUGGGGGUUAAGUGACCUAAAAUUGAUGUAUCUCUGUGCAUCUCGGACGUACAUAAGAAUUUUUUUUUCCUAUCCGUCAGGGUUGCCAGGUCCUUAUUAGGUAUGAUCACGUUGCUUGUGAAAUCCGUACCUAUAAUGUAACUCAUAUUUUGACCUCAAAUCAGGUAGGAAUACCCGCUGAACUUAAUCAUAUCAAUAAGCGGAGGAAAAGAAAAUAACAAUGAUUCCCCUAGUAACUGCGAGUGAAGAGGGACAAGCUCAAAUUUUAAAUCUGUUAGGUUUAACCCGACCCGAGUUGUAAUUUGAAGAGGUGUUUUCCGCGUUUUUGGUCAGUCCCAAGUCCUUUGGAAUGAGGCAUCAUGGAGGGUGAGAAUCCCGUUCGGCUGACCAGAUUCGUUUUAUGAUACACUUUCAAAGAGUCAAGUUGUUUGGGAUUGCAGCUUAAAAUGGGAGGUAAAUUUCUCCUAAGGCUAAAUAUUGGCGAGAGACCGAUAGCGAACAAGUACCGUGAGGGAAAGAUGAAAAGUACUUUGAAAAGAGAGUUAAAUAUUACGUGAAAUUGUUGAAAGGGAAACGAUUGAAGCCAGUCGUACUCAUGGGUAAUCAACCUUUCUGGCGCGAUUAUGUGGACGUGUUGGAGCCUAAUCAGCCCUCAUGUUUUUAUAUUCGUUCCCCUUGGGUGUACUUGCCCGUGCGGUAGGUUAACAUCAAUUUCGGACGUCAUAAAAUGACGGGAGGAAUGUAGCUUUGGUCUCGUACUGAAGUGUUAUAGCCUCUGGUAGAUGUGACGUCUGGGAUUGAGGAUUGCAACGGAUACCUUUCGGGGCUACCUGUCUGGCCUCUGAUGAUUGCUUUGGUGUCGAAAGCUUGCUUACGGUCAUCAAAAGUUGAUUGUCAAAAAGGUUAGAACAGGUUAAAUUCGUUAAAGGAUGUUGACGUAAAUGGCUUUAAACGACCCGUCUUGAAAACACGGACCAAGGAGUCUAACAAUAAUAAUGCGGAAGUGUUCAAUUCGUCGGA
This 1587-nucleotide ribosomal RNA is filed under the name uncultured Glomus. RNAcentral's name for it is "eukaryotic LSU rRNA". The stretch from base 718 to 1587 matches the Rfam family "Eukaryotic large subunit ribosomal RNA", at positions 1 to 716 of the family's 3401-position model. The record is from RNAcentral. Lineage: Eukaryota; Fungi; Glomeromycota; Glomeromycetes; Glomerales; Glomeraceae.